UGGAACAGGCAUGAUGGCUUUCUGU
This 25-nucleotide non-coding RNA is filed under the name Mus musculus (house mouse). Lineage: Eukaryota; Metazoa; Chordata; Mammalia; Rodentia; Muridae. The record is from RNAcentral.